UACGGAGGGGGCUAGCGUUGUUCGGAAUUACUGGGCGUAAAGCGCGCGUAGGCGGACCUGCAAGUCGAACGUGAAAUCCCCAGGCUCAACCUGGGAACUGCGUCCGAUACUGGCAGGCUUGAAUCCGGGAGAGGGAUGUGGAAUUCCAGGUGUAGCGGUGAAAUGCGUAGAUAUCUGGAGGAACACCGGUGGCGAAGGCGGCAUCCUGGACCGGUAUUGACGCUGAGGCGCGAAAGCUAGGGGAGCAAACGGG
RNAcentral lists this ribosomal RNA (253 nucleotides) under uncultured bacterium. RNAcentral's name for it is "partial 16S ribosomal RNA". It matches the Rfam family "Bacterial small subunit ribosomal RNA", at positions 524 to 776 of the family's 1533-position model. The record is from RNAcentral.